Molecule: long non-coding RNA, 600 nt
Organism: Cucumis sativus (cucumber)
Lineage: Eukaryota; Viridiplantae; Streptophyta; Magnoliopsida; Cucurbitales; Cucurbitaceae
Exons: 2
Source: RefSeq, a predicted model, not a curated record
UAUUCAUAUCAGCUUCUUAUUUCUUGAGAAAUAUCAAAUUUGGUGGUUUUGAGGAUGAGCACUACGAAACUAGUUUUGGCUCUUUCUUUAUCUCAUCGUCAAUGUGCAUCUGAAGCGUAGCUUUGCAAAAGCUUCAACUACAUCGAUAAUUUUCUUUCUAUUAUGAGCCAAAACCUGGAAGUGUUAGUGGGAUUCCUGGUUACUAUACUAUUGAUGAUUUACAGCUGACUUUAGAAGUACAUAUGAAAUUUAAAUUGAUUUUGUCAGUCCCAAGUCACAUCUAAUAUAUGACUCGUACAUUUUGAUGGCUCCCUAUUGAAUCUGACAUUUGGCUCCUGCAUAUGCAUAAUGUUCCUUAGUUCAUCUGUUAAUUUACUACUAUCUCAUUCAAUUGUUUCAGUCGGCUGAUAUUCUUCAUGUAUUUUUACCAGCCGUAGUUUUUGUACCUUUAAUAUUAAGGUAAUUGUAAAUUUCAAGGCAAAUGAAAUCGUUAUCAAGUGGGGCUUAGUAAUUAAUACUAUUAAUGGACGAAGGCAUUAUGUUGUCUGAUGCCAAAUUUUAAUUUUCCUUUGCACAAUAAUCAAAACGAAAUAUUUUUAA